UUUGAUCCUGGCUCAGGAUGAACGCUAGCGGCAGGCUUAAUACAUGCAAGUCGUCGCGGCAGCAUGUCCCGUAGCAAUACGGGAUGAUGGCGACCGGCAAACGGGUGCGGAACACGUACACAACCUUCCUUCGAGUGGGGAAUAGCCCGGGGAAACCCGGAUUAAUACCCCGUAACAUAAUGGAGUGGCAUCACUUUAUUAUUAUAGCUCCGGCGCUUGAAGAUGGGUGUGCGACUGAUUAGGCAGUUGGCGGGGUAACGGCCCACCAAACCUACGAUCAGUAACUGGUGUGAGAGCACGACCAGUCACACGGGCACUGAGACACGGGCCCGACUCCUACGGGAGGCAGCAGUAAGGAAUAUUGGUCAAUGGACGCAAGUCUGAACCAGCCAUGCCGCGUGGAGGAUGAAGGCCCUCUGGGUUGUAAACUUCUUUUAUCUGGGACGAAAAAGGGACUUUUCUAAGGCCG
RNAcentral lists this ribosomal RNA (469 nucleotides) under uncultured bacterium. RNAcentral's name for it is "bacterial SSU rRNA". It matches the Rfam family "Bacterial small subunit ribosomal RNA", at positions 12 to 474 of the family's 1533-position model. The record is from RNAcentral.